AUUGAACGCUGGCGGCAGGCCUAACACAUGCAAGUCGAACGAGUGGCGGACGGGUGAGUAAUGCUUGGGAAUCUGGCUUAUGGAGGGGGAUAACGACGGGAAACUGUAGCUAAUACCGCGUACCAUAGGAUGAGCCCACGGUGGAUUAGGUAGUUGGUGGGGUAAAGGCUGACCAAGCAGACGAUCUCUAGCUGGUCUGAGAGGAUGACCAGCCACACUGGGACUGAGACACGGCCCAGACUCCUACGGGAGGCAGCAGUGGGGAAUAUUGCGCAAUGGGGGCAACCUGACGCAGCCAUGCCGCGUGAAUGAAGAAGGCUUUCGGGUUGUAAAGUUCUUUCGGUGGCGAGGCGUUAAUCACAGAAGAAGCACCGGCUAACUCCGUGCCAGCAGCCGCGGUAAUUC
This 405-nucleotide ribosomal RNA is filed under the name uncultured bacterium. RNAcentral's name for it is "partial 16S ribosomal RNA". It matches the Rfam family "Bacterial small subunit ribosomal RNA", at positions 30 to 526 of the family's 1533-position model. The record is from RNAcentral.